CUCAGAAGUGUAAGAGGAGAUGCUUGCCUCAGAUCAAUAGCUCAUCGACGUAUGUUUGGGCCUGCAAUGAAUCCUCCCAGAGUGCUCAGGUCUCAAGACUUGAGAUAGAUGGUCAUAGGGACCAGAGGUGUCUGGGCCCUUGCUCGCAAGUGCAUCUAACUACUUCUGUAAUGGUAAAUUUAAAUAAAAUAUCAUAAGAAAUGCUAUAAUAUUAAUCAUACUAAUCAUACUCCAAUUA
This 238-nucleotide long non-coding RNA is filed under the name Elaeis guineensis (African oil palm). Its description in RNAcentral is "long non-coding RNA (EGUI_LNC048939)". The record is from RNAcentral. Lineage: Eukaryota; Viridiplantae; Streptophyta; Magnoliopsida; Arecales; Arecaceae.